Molecule: ribosomal RNA, 542 nt
Filed under: uncultured bacterium
Lineage: Bacteria
Description: bacterial SSU rRNA
Rfam family: Archaeal small subunit ribosomal RNA
Source: RNAcentral
AGUGAAUAGAUACCCGGGUAGUCCCAGCCGUAAACGAUGCGCGUUAGGUGUAUCGGUGACCACGAGUCACCGAGGUGCCGAAAGAGAAAUCGUGAAACGUGCCGCCUGGGAAGUACGGUCGCAAGGCUGAAACUUAAAGGAAUUGGCGGGGGAGCACCACAACAGGUGGAGCCUGCGGUUUAAUCGGACUCAACGCCGGAAAUCUCACCGGAUAAGACAGCUGGAUGAUAGUCGGGCUGAAGACUCUACUUGACUAGCUGAGAGGAGGUGCAUGGCCGUCGUCAGUUCGUACUGUGAAGCAUCCUGUUAAGUCAGGCAACGAGCGAGACCCACGCCAACAGUUGCCAGCUCGUCCUCCGGGAUGGUGGGGACACUGUUGGGACCGCCUCUGCUAAAGAGGAGGAAGGAAUGGGCAACGGUAGGUCAGCAUGCCCCGAAUUAUCCGGGCUACACGCGGGCUACAAUGGGUGGGACAAUGGGUAUCGACACCGAAAGGUGAAGGCAAUCUCCUAAACCCAUCCUUAGUUCGGAUUGUGGGCUGC